UGCAGAAUCCCGUGAACCAUCGAGUCUUUGAACGCAAGUUGCGCCCGAGGGACCCUCCCGAGGGCACGCCUGCCUCAUGGGCGUUAGAAGCCCAUUCACGCUCGGUUGCCUGCUGGCAAGGAUGCGGACACUGGCCCUCCGAACCUCGAGGUGCGGUGGGCCUAAGUGUGCGGCCGUCGUAUGUGGCCGGGAGCGGCGAGUGGUGGGCUACUGCGCACGUCACCCCGGGCCCCGUACCGACACAGGGCCUUUCCUGACCCCUAACGAGGAGCUUGCCGUUGCGGCAUGCGCCGCGCGGCGCCUUCGGACCGAUACCCCAGGUCAGGCGGGGCUACCCGCUGAGUUUAAGCAUAUAAAUAAGCGGAGGAGAAGAAACUUACAAGGAUUCCCCUAGUAACGGCGAGCGAACCGGGAGCAGCCCAGCCUUAGAAUCGCGGCGGCACUGCCGUCCGA
Molecule: ribosomal RNA, 453 nt
Filed under: Carex diandra
Lineage: Eukaryota; Viridiplantae; Streptophyta; Magnoliopsida; Poales; Cyperaceae
Description: eukaryotic LSU rRNA
Rfam family: Eukaryotic large subunit ribosomal RNA (bases 312-453)
Source: RNAcentral